This 254-nucleotide ribosomal RNA is filed under the name uncultured bacterium. RNAcentral describes it as "partial 16S ribosomal RNA". It matches the Rfam family "Bacterial small subunit ribosomal RNA", at positions 524 to 776 of the family's 1533-position model. The record is from RNAcentral.
UACGGAGGGGGCAAGCGUUGUUCGGAAUUACUGGGCGUAAAGGGCGCGCAGGCGGCUGCUCAAGUCAGGCGUGAAAGGCCUGGGCUCAACCCGGGAAUUGCGCUUGAGACUGGGCUGGCUUGAGUGCGGGAGAGGAUGGUGGAAUUCCCAGUGUAGAGGUGAAAUUCGUAGAUAUUCGGAAGAACACCAGUGGCGAAGGCGACUCACUGGCCCGUUACUGACGCUGAGGCUCGAAAGCGUGGGGAGCAAACAGG